AUACGUAGGUGGCAAGCGUUAUCCGGAUUUACUGGGUGUACAGGGCGUGUAGGCGGUAUACCAAGUCAGAUGUGAAAUCUCCCGGCUCAACCGGGAGCGUGCAUCUGAAACUGGUACACUUGAGUGCUGGAGGGGAAAGCGGAAUUCCGAGUGUAGCGGUAAAAUGCGUAGAUAUUCGGAGGAACACCGAUUGCGAAGGCGGCCUAAGUGGUUUUAGCUGACGUUUAGGCGCGACAGAGUGGGUAGCAAACAGGAGUAGAUACCGCAGUAGUCCACUCUGUAACCGAUGAUUGCUAGGUGUGGUGGGACUCCCCCCGUGCAUGCCUUAGGUAAAGUAAUUAGCAAUACAGCUGGGGAGUACGGCCGCAACGCUAAUACUGAAAGGAGUUGACGGGG
RNAcentral lists this ribosomal RNA (396 nucleotides) under uncultured bacterium. RNAcentral's name for it is "partial 16S ribosomal RNA". It matches the Rfam family "Bacterial small subunit ribosomal RNA", at positions 523 to 918 of the family's 1533-position model. The record is from RNAcentral.